This is a non-coding RNA of Paramuricea clavata, 386 nucleotides long. NCBI's taxonomy places the organism in Eukaryota, Metazoa, Cnidaria, Anthozoa, Malacalcyonacea, Plexauridae. The record is from the annotation of a GenBank genome assembly.
GCCAUUCUUAGAACUUCAUGUAUACAAGUACGUACAAUCGUACUGACCUAUACCAAACGCUACUGUUAGUAGAUAGUACCUAAGACAACAACAACAUAAAACUGACAAAACACUUACGUAGAGGCCCAUAAAACCAACACUUGCUUCGCCAGGGUUUAUUCCAAACAGUUUGCUCAUUGCUAUACAACCGCAUAUGAAAGAAGUUGUGGUCAAUACUAACAUAACACAACCGAUUGUGAUUAAAAAAUAAGCUCCAUGGUUUGAUAAAGCCAUCUUAGCUUAGUGUGUGUGUUAUCUUAAAGCUUUUGACAAAGCUGUUGCUUUAAAGAGUACGUUUCAGAUAUUGUUUUCAAAUAACACAGGAAGUCGAUUUACCUGUUACCGUG